GUGACGCCAUUUUAAUUACAGUUGAGGGUUGUGAAGUAAAACUGAUAUUAAACUUUCAAAUAAUAAAUUAGUGAAAUAAUAAGUGUUAAAAAGUGGGGAAAAAAUUAUUUCACUAAUAAUUUUAUUUCUUUUUGGAGAAAUGGAAGUAAUUAAAGAAUAUCAUUUGCUUUAAACUCCAUCGUGGAAGUUGCAGAUGCUGUGUUAGUGGAGCUGUUCACCGCGAACGCUGAUAUAUGUGUCACAUAAUUAUUUCCGGACAAUUAUAGAUACACUUGGAAUGAUAAUAGCUCGAGGUUUAAAGUCAACUUCUGGGCAGAUGCCGUUCCAAGAUCUCAGAAAGUCAUUUCCGGUGUUUUGAGGAUCAUGUCCGAGCUACGCAUGCUGUAGGUCCAAGUUGGAGUCUGGAUUAGCCUGGGGUAUCUGCAGUAGAUCCAGUGUCUAAUCGUAGCAUCAGAGUGUAUACGAGAUGCGGGUCAGACUGUAAAUACAUACAUACACAUACCACAAAUACGUAUAUAUAUAUUUAUUUAUUUAUGUGUGUGGAUUAUUCUCAACCCCAGUUAGAGAAGAUCAUCAAGCAGCUCACAGAGAUCGAUGUGUGUCAAAAUCUUAGUCGAUUGGUUGAGUGAUUAACGAGAGUCUAAGUACAACUAAUGCCCCGGAUAAGACAGCUCUAGAACAAACAAUGUCGUGUGUCGUGGGCGGGUACGCCGGCAUCAUGUCGUCG
This is a long non-coding RNA of Microplitis demolitor, 727 nucleotides long. RefSeq lists it as uncharacterized. The transcript has 4 exons. The record is from RefSeq and is a predicted model, not a curated record. NCBI's taxonomy places the organism in Eukaryota, Metazoa, Arthropoda, Insecta, Hymenoptera, Braconidae.